CCUAAACCUCUUGGGGACGUGGCAGAACUUGUGCUUAAAGGACUACAUGCUAUUAUUCAGAAGCAUGAACACAUGAUAUUGCAAACUAUUCUAGUGCACACAUACGCACACACACACCCCUACACAGGAGUCAACACCUCACCCUGAACAUUUUUACAUUAUUGGCAUGUUGCAGAGCACGUUCUGCUUCUCCACAUUUUAAUUCUGAGCUACAGCUAAUCAAAGCACAGGCUCCAUCCUUGGCAGCAGCAGAGCCCAGAUGUGCAGUUCCUGGAAGGAAUCGCUCCCACAGUGUCAUCUGGCUAUCACCUCCCCUCGCCUGGUUUCUCCAGCGGAUUCCAAAGUGGCGAUGCUGUGUAUCAUGCCAGUUUCACCUACGUUCACACCAUUCUUUUGUAAACGGGAGUACCUGGUUCACUUUACACGUUUCUAAACUGAGAAGGAAGAAAUCACAGCAUCCAGACUUCCAUUAGAGGGUCACUUCUCCCCUGCUGUGUGCGGUCUUGGUGACCCUAUAAAUCAAGGUGCCCAACCCUCUUCUUCUAAGGGCUGGGCACACGACUAAAUUCCAGCUGCUUUAGCUCCAUUCUCUCUCCCUCUCCUUCCCUCCUUCUCCUUCUUUUUCUCUCUCUUUCCUUCUUCUAAGACUUUGAGUCUUGAGAAAACGACGAAAGAACAAGGAAAACAGUUGGAAUGCAUGUUCACUGGCUGUGCCCUCCAAGACUGGGGAGAAGUUCCUGGUGCUUAAACCCUCAGGAGAAAACAUUCAGAUGAAUCGGAGUGAUUAUUUCUAAAUCUGUCCGACCUUCUUACCUAGAGAGUAGACAAGUGGAUUCUCAGGGACCAUUUGAGAAAUGGUAUCUCUCGUCGACCACACUACUGGAAAUCAGUAUCACAACCACAGGUGAAGAAAGUUUGUCUUCAAAGUUAAACAGCUUUUCUAAGACACACAACCAAUAAGUGGUUUAGCCACUAGUGGAACCUUAGACCAGGCCUGAAUCACAGCUGUAUGACCUCAACCAAUUGAUGAAAAACAGAGGAGAGAAAAGAGGAAAAGAUGUGGAGGAGAUUCGCCUUAGAAGCUGGCAAUACCAUGAUUUAGAUGAACACACCCAUGAUUUCUCUACAUCCAUGAUUUAUUUAAUUGUCAAAAUUUUAAUAGAAAGAAGAUUGGGAAUAAAUAAUCAAGAGAGAAGAACUACAUGAAAUCCAAGAGAAGAGAAAACUUCAGGAAGAAGACCUUAUCUGAGACUGUUCACUGAUUCUGAACUAGGUCAAGUCAGGCAAUCUAGUACGGAAGUUCUUGGGUAAAAACGGCCACAGAGCAAUUCAAAACAUGUAGUUUUGAUGGGUGUGUCAGGAUUGGGGGUUUUCUAAGAUCACAUAUCACUCUGUAGAGAUGUUGGACCUGGAAGAAAAACACUACAUGCAAGAUAUGGAAAGAAGCAGGAAGAUAUUUGGAAAAAC
This 1467-nucleotide long non-coding RNA is filed under the name Equus caballus (horse). RNAcentral describes it as "lncRNA (ENSECAG00000043819.1)". Lineage: Eukaryota; Metazoa; Chordata; Mammalia; Perissodactyla; Equidae. The record is from RNAcentral.